CACGAACCGUACAAACGUUAUUCGGAAUUACUGGGCUUAAAGGGUGCGUAGGCGGCCCGGAAAGUUGGAUGUGAAAUCCCUCGGCUUAACCGAGGAAUAGCGUUCAAAACUACCGGGCUCGAGGAAGACAGAGGUGAGUGGAACUUAGGGUGGAGCGGUGAAAUGCGUUGAUAUCCUAAGGAACACCAGUGGCGAAAGCGACUCACUGGGUCUUUUCUGACGCUGAGGCACGAAAGCCAGGGGAGCGAACGGG
Molecule: ribosomal RNA, 253 nt
Filed under: uncultured bacterium
Lineage: Bacteria
Description: partial 16S ribosomal RNA
Rfam family: Bacterial small subunit ribosomal RNA
Source: RNAcentral